UCCUCAUGACCUCUUUCCCCGGGAAGAUUUUCAUUUCCAUUCAUGCGCGCCCGGGAAAAUCAAAAUUAUUUUCAAAAUUUGAUAUUAUCCCGGCAUCACAAAAUUCUCCCGCCUUCUUUUCCCUCCAUAUCCCCCUGUUGGUUAUAAAACCGAUCGAUGGAAUCGCCUCAUUGGACCAUGAAUCAUUAUUCUGAUGAGACUAGAGAGGAAAAAAAUCAAAAAAGAAGAGAAGGGACGAAUUGAUUAGAAGCAAAGUCCUGCCAAACAUGCACAAGUUCAAGUGAUUACCAAAUCUUAAUAAGCAGGAGUAGGAGCAACACGAGAGCUAGAAGAAGAAUCGAGAAAUGCCGAGAAUCCACAUCUGUUGAAAUCGGAAGUAAAUUUGCAUAGAGAUGCUCACUUGUAUGGAGAACAGUCUCCCCUCAGAACUUAGCAUAGAAAUUCUUUCCCGCUUACCCGCUGAUUCAGUCUUGCAGUGCAGACAAGUGUGCAAAACGUGGCGACACCUACUGCGUCAUCCUUCCUUUGCUCAUAAGCACCUACAUCAAUUAUUACAGAAUGAUGGUAAUAGUAACUCAAGUCAUUCUUCUCUUAUUGCUUCCAAGGUUCGUUCUGGUUUCCUUUUCGUCUUUAAAUUUACACGGGAAUCAGGCUGGCAACUUUACUAUGGAGAGUAUGAUGAUCAGCCUAGUAAGAAACUUAGAAGGAUUAACCAGCCUCCCACGAAUUAUCAGACAUUGGUUGGAUCAUGUAACGGGUUGAUUUGCUAUUCUAAAGGCGGUUAUGGACCUAAUGAUCAUUGGGAUUAUGAUCAUGAACCUACCUAUAUUUGCAAUCCAAUCACCGGUGAAUAUGUGAGUUUGCCAGGGCUGAGACCUUGGGGGAUAGAUUGUACGAAAAAGUUACAGUCUAUGGUGUGUGGUUUUGGUUACCAUAGUUCUAGUAACAAGUACAAAAUUGUUAGAAUCUACUAUCUUCAGAAUCAACCCUUAGGGCAGGUCCAGGUAUAUACACUUGGUAGUGGCAUUGGUUGGAGAGACUUGGGAGAAACUGCUUACUCAUUGCGAUACACUUGGCAGAAAAGUUCUGAUGACCGUUCUUCAUUUGCUGCGUUUGCAAAUGGAGCCCUUCAUUGGCUUGACUUGGAACAGAAGAUUGUGUCCUUUGAUUUGUCCGAUGAGAAGUUCUACUUGCUCCCACCACCACCUUUUGUCCGUGCUGCAAAUGUGCGGAACUGUUUUAAACUUCAGGUUUUGGGAGGGUGCUUGUGUUUUAUUCAUCAAAAGCGAAGUGAACUCCUAGACAUAUGGUUCUUAAGGAAGAAAGGAGGACACAGUAGUUCCGCCGUGAAUGAGCAGGAUUACAGUUCAUUAAACUGGAUUAAGGAGUUCAGCAUACCAAAAAGUGAUGCAGUGCCAUUUGCCCUUACAAAUAGUGGUCAUGUCCUACUUCACUACAACUCUGGUGUCUUCUGCUAUGAUCCAGAAACUAGUGCAGUCUCGGAAAGUCUUAUAGGAACGACUUCUAUCAUGUACUGCAUGUAGUUCCUCACAUGAACAGCUUGGUUUCUCUGCAAGGUCUUCCAGAAGUUUGGUGGCCCAGAAAAAGAUACGAUGUUAAUCCAGCACCAAAGGAAAUCUUUAUAAAACCACAGAGAAAAGAUGAUGGAAAGAUUGGUGUUAAUCCAAGCCUUACUAUGGCUCAAAAUUUGGACAAGCAGCCAGUAUCUCCAACACGGGCUAUUGGUAGCAAUCUCGACAAGUCUAUUCUUAUGCCAGUUGCGGUGGAGGCGUCUCACACGAGCAAAGCUGCAGAUGAUUCGAGAAAGAGGGAAGAAAAGUCACUGAAGUGCAAGUCACAUUGUUCUGACGGACCUGAGAAGCUAGAUCAUUCGCCCCAAGAGUUGUACUGUUCAGAUGAAAACAGUCCCCUCAGCCAUUGUCCAAGGCGCCCUAUUCGUGAGGGAAGAAGUGGUGUUGAUGGUACACAUAAGAUUGUUGCGGAUGUGGAGAUAUUUUCAGAUCAUCAUGGGGAUAUUGGGGGAACUCAUGGAGAAGUGGGGGCCACAUCACCUCUCAGGCGUGCGGCUAAACGACAUACGGCUGGUUCAGACAUGAGUGACCAGGGAAGUGAGAAGAAGGCAUGCUCUGAAUCUGGCAGACCCCAUGGUCAAGACGUCGGGCAACCCCGAGAAAGAGGCAGGGGUAGUUCACUUAUAUCCCCCUUAGGGCCCUCUGAUAAAGGGAAGGUCUAUUGUCCACUUCCUCAGUAUACUGCUCCUCAACUAUGUCCACCAAGUUUUCUUAUGGUAGCUGGAUUUCCCGUACUACCUAAGUAUAAAGACUUGUAUACUCGAGUGGUUGCCUCCAAAGGGCACAUGGCCUCCGACACAAAGGUUAAAUCGAUGAACAUACAAGCCACUAUGGUCACCGAACUUUUGGAGACGAUUCAGCAAAUGAGCGAACUCUCUAGUCGUGAUGUUACCUCCACCAACUUACAACAAUGGCGUGCAUCAGUUGAUACCGCUUCCGCUAUGGACUUUCACGUGUCAUGGUUGGAUGAUCAGCUUCACCUUCUUGAGUCUAAAAUUCGUGAUGUUGAAGAACUAAAGGCGACGAGGCGUGGUCUGGAAGCAGAAGUCAAGAGGUAGUGAGAAUAAGAUCUUUUUACUUCGCUCCAAGAUGGAAGAGGCGAGACGUGCAUACGAGGCCGCUAAGGUAGAAAAAGCUGAAUUGAAUGUGAAGGUGGCUACAGUGAAAGCUAGCCUUGCUUCAUUUGAAGCAGAUAGUCAAGUGACUUCCUCUUUGUCAAAUUCGGCACUUGGUUCAUGUUUAGGACUUUAGGUAUCCCUCAUUGAUUGAUUCUCUCUGGUUUUACCAUAUGUUUCUGUUGAAAUUUGCUUAAUUGGUUAGGUUUCUAAGAUUUAGUUGGUCUCACAGAAGCUUGUGAUACAGUACUUCUGUUUGGAGGCGUUUGAGGGGGUACAUUGUGAUAUUUUAUUUAUUUCUCCUUUUUUGAGUUUCUUUUUUUAUAUGUAUAUUUUGGUUAUUAUUUUACGUAAGGAAAAUGUCUAUUCAAACAUAAUUUUAGAUAUUACUUUAAUAAAAUGCAUGC
Molecule: RNA transcript, 3114 nt
Organism: Papaver somniferum (opium poppy)
Lineage: Eukaryota; Viridiplantae; Streptophyta; Magnoliopsida; Ranunculales; Papaveraceae
Exons: 4
Source: RefSeq, a predicted model, not a curated record